Molecule: long non-coding RNA, 748 nt
Organism: Magnolia sinica
Lineage: Eukaryota; Viridiplantae; Streptophyta; Magnoliopsida; Magnoliales; Magnoliaceae
Exons: 3
Source: RefSeq, a predicted model, not a curated record
CACUGUUUCUUGUGAUGUUGUCCACGCGAGAUUUGCUCAUACAUAAAAUAAUAUGGAAAAAAUGGAUAGACGGCGUCAAUGAAACACAUACGUCAUGGUAGGCCCAUACAGCACCAACCACUAGCCCGCGUCUCCACAGCUUCCGUGCAGAAAACAGGUGUUCCCUGAGUAUUCCCGUCUCCUUUCCGAGUGACUGUGCAUCAAGCAUCGUUCUCUACCGGAGUAUCAAAUAGCUCCGUCCAAUAGCUUCAUAUCGUUCGACACAGAGAUAGAGAGGCUGAAAGCAAGGGUCUGAGCGAGGAAGAAAAUGGAAAAGCUGAAGGCUCUGUUUUCCCAUCCAUCCGAAGCAGAUUAUCUCCAUUGCAACUCCGGACGAUUUCCCUCGUUCUCCUCACUUGUCGACUUAUUCCUUUCUUCACCUCAUUUCCACCAGAUUGUCUGAGAAGCAACGUGCCGAGAGAUGGGGCUGUGGAUUGUCGUAAGACUGCAAUGUCUGCUUUGGAUUGAAAGUGGAAAGGGAACAAUUGCUUUUCGAGCGGAUGUUUCAUCAAUGCUUUUGGAUUCUACACUCAGAUUGGGUAUUCUACACACAUGUGACAGGUUGGUAUACACCAAUGGUGGAAAGAAUUGCGGCCGCGUAUAUGCAAGGUAUUAAACAAUGGUCAAGUAACUGCUCAUUACUUAACGGUAAGGGUGGGAACCAUUAUGCAUAAUGAGCCAUAACGCCCGAUACAGAAAAAUAAAAAUA